This 404-nucleotide ribosomal RNA is filed under the name uncultured bacterium. Its description in RNAcentral is "partial 16S ribosomal RNA". It matches the Rfam family "Bacterial small subunit ribosomal RNA", at positions 355 to 774 of the family's 1533-position model. The record is from RNAcentral.
UAGGGAAUAUUGGGCAAUGGAGGAAACUCUGACCCAGCAACGCCGCGUGAAGGAUGAAGGUUUUCGGAUUGUAAACUUCUUUUAUGUGAGAAAAAUAAAUGAUGGUAUCACAUGAAUAAGCCACGGCAAACUAUGUGCCAGCAGCCGCGGUAAGACAUAGGUGGCGAGCGUUGUCCGGAUUAACUGGGCGUAAAGCGAGAGUAGGCGGUUUUGCAAGUCGAUGGUGAAAUCCUGGGGCUUAACCCCAGAACUGCCAUCGAAACUGCAUUACUUGAGUGUGGGAGAGGAAGAUGGAAUUCCAAGUGUAGCGGUGGAAUGCGUAGAUAUUUGGAGGAACAUCGGUGGCGAAGGCGAUCUUCUGGAACACAACUGACGCUGAAUCUCGAAAGCGUGGGGAGCAAACA